GACGUAGGGCGCGAGCGUUGUCCGGAUUUAUUGGGCGUAAAGAGCUCGUAGGCGGUUUGUCGCGUCGGGAGUGAAAUCCACUGGCUUAACUGGUGGCUUGCUUUCGAUACGGGCAGACUGGAGGUAUGCAGGGGAGAACGGAAUUCCUGGUGUAGCGGUGAAAUGCGCAGAUAUCAGGAGGAACACCGGUGGCGAAGGCGGUUCUCUGGGCAUGUCCUGACGCUGAGGAGCGAAAGUGUGGGGAGCGAACAGG
RNAcentral lists this ribosomal RNA (253 nucleotides) under uncultured bacterium. Its description in RNAcentral is "partial 16S ribosomal RNA". It matches the Rfam family "Bacterial small subunit ribosomal RNA", at positions 524 to 776 of the family's 1533-position model. The record is from RNAcentral.